UAACAAAGGGAAGCUAAGCCGCGAGGUGGAGCAAAACCCAAAAAAAGACAGUCUCAGUUCGGAUUGAAGGCUGAAAUUCGCCUUCAUGAAGCCGGAAUUGCUAGUAAUGGCAGGUCAGCAUACUGCCGUGAAUACGUUCCCGGGCCUUGUACACACCGCCCGUCACACCAUGAGAGUUGGGGAUACCCGAAGCCUGUGAGCUAACUUUUAGAGGCAGCAGUCGAAGGUAGAAUCAAUGAUUGGGGUGAAGUCGUAACAAGGUAAC
RNAcentral lists this ribosomal RNA (265 nucleotides) under uncultured bacterium. RNAcentral's name for it is "partial 16S ribosomal RNA". It matches the Rfam family "Bacterial small subunit ribosomal RNA", at positions 1237 to 1500 of the family's 1533-position model. The record is from RNAcentral.